GGGAAUUUUUUUCGAGUGAUUUUUUUUUCAAGUUUGCACUAUAAAAAUCAUUCAUUCAUCAGAUUUCAAUCGUAUUACAACUAUCCUGUCCUUACGACUACAGCUCCAGUUUAAUCUUGUAUUGUAAUAUUGUAAUUCAUCGAAAUGGCAGACAAUACGAGGAAGCAUGCUGAUUUCAUUAAGGAUCCUAUGGGUGAAAAACCUGUAACUGACAUACCGGGAAUAGGCACAGAAACAGCAAAGAAACUAAAAGGAGAAGGAAUUACAAAGGCGUAUGCUGUAUUUGGAAAAUAUUUGAUGUUGGAAAAGGACAAAAAACGUUUCCUUGAGUGGCUGAAUGAGAACGAAUUUCGUCUGAACAAAGGAUACGCUACGAAAUGUUACGAUGCUUUACAUGCGUGGAAUGAACAACACUUUAAAUAAGUGGAGCGUAUCAUUAUGUCUAGGCCUAAUAUUGGGAAAGGAGUGAAUAGAUGAUAAAAACUUGUAGAAUUAUAGACUAACUUGGAUUGUUUAUUUACACAAGCUUUUAUUUAGAUUUAGUAUUAGAACAAUCUCUUUUGUAGAAUCUGUUGGUAAUGGUAAAGGCCGUGUACUUAUAGCAUAUACAAACAUUCUCAAGUAUUUUAAAGAACAGAAACCUAAAAAUUAAAGAAAAAAAACCCUUACAAAUGGAACACACUGAGACAAAAAAAAAAUACAGUAGAAGAAAAGAAACCAGUAUCGCUGCCCUGUUUUCCAGCACCUUGAGGUUUUAAAUACAGGCUCGCUGGAGAAUGAUUCGCAUGCUCAAGUUACACAUGCAUCUGGCUAUCUUAAUCUAAAAAUGGAAGAGAAAGCGAAGACACGUACAUUGAACAGAGCCAAACAGGCACAUGGGCCUUAAGCUUCGUCUUAAAUAAGGAAAUAGAUGUGGAUUCCUAAAAAAUGUCAUUCCAAACUUUAGAGCAGCGACCAUAACGAUUGCUUACCAUAUCAUUUAUAAGGCUUAGUGAUUAGAAGAAAAUAGGUAAAAUAGUUUGGAAUUUUGAAGUACGAGCACAUGUUACGAAGCGUAAUUGAAUAAAGUCUGAUAUAAAUAAAAAGCUGUUAGUGAUCAUGCUUUGGCACGAUGGAUCCUCUACAAUGUCUAUGCAUUUCAUAAACCAACAGAUUUUAAGAAGCUUAAUUAACAAAUUUAUCAUUUUUACUACAGUAUUUCAAAAUUGCUCAAGAAGUAUAGAGUAAGAUGAUUUAAUUAAUUUAGUGCAAUUGUACUUCUUUCUAAAUGAAAUAUAGGACAUACAUUGUAAUUAUUAAAUCAUGCUUUAUGCA
This is a long non-coding RNA of Anneissia japonica, 1314 nucleotides long. RefSeq lists it as uncharacterized. The record is from RefSeq and is a predicted model, not a curated record. The transcript has 3 exons. NCBI's taxonomy places the organism in Eukaryota, Metazoa, Echinodermata, Crinoidea, Comatulida, Comatulidae.